RNAcentral lists this long non-coding RNA (297 nucleotides) under Linum usitatissimum (flax). RNAcentral describes it as "long non-coding RNA (LUSI_LNC007149)". Lineage: Eukaryota; Viridiplantae; Streptophyta; Magnoliopsida; Malpighiales; Linaceae. The record is from RNAcentral.
UUUAUUUGAUCAUGUGUACAUUAUCAGCGUGUAACUCGGUCGAGUCUAGGAGUUAAUAGAGUUGCUAAAUUAAGUAAUUACAGGAUUAUGUAGUCUCCCUUAAUCUCUUUUAUGUAUACUUGUAAUUUCAAAAAAUAAGAGAAAAAGAAAAAAAUGAAAAUCUCAAAAAAAGGAGACAAGCAAAAAAACUCAUUCUCGAGAUCAAAAAAAUAAAAAAAUAAAAAAGAAGACCAAAAGGUCUCCAGUUAGUUGAAUAAACGAGCAGGAUGGCUCAAAGUAGUAGUUUGAAUAAAGGGU